CAUGGACCAGCUUGUUGCUAAAGGUGUUAUCAGUGAUUCAUUUUUAUGUGUUAUGGAGGAAUGGGUGUAGGUGGGGGCGUUAUGGUUCUAGGUGGGAUUAAAUCCCCCCGGGAUAUGGUGCUUGCCCAUUUGGAUCCUUUUUGCAGUCCAUAUUACAAUAUUGAAUUGAUGGAGAUACAUGUGGCUGGAAAGGCUUUGAAGUUUUACCCAAAGGUGUUUGAUGAAAAGCAUGGAAUUGUCUUGGAUAGUGGAACGACGUAUGCAUACUCUCCAAAGGAUGCUUUUAUUGCAUUUAAGGAUGCUAUCACUGUAUAGAGGGCUAGGGGAGCAAUGACUGCAGAGUGGAAUGCCAGGUUUGUUUGCUACUUUUGCUGCUUUAAUAAAACUUUGGAGAAGUGACUAAAGAAUUUGAUAAUUCUUGAUCUCUUAGAUAAAAAUUGCUCUGGAAUGGUAGCGUGGAGAAAGAUUGAGUAUUGAUGUUUUGCUGCCGUCUUGAUCUUAAAAGUAAGCACAAAGUUUUUUCUCUGUACUACAGAGUACUCUCGUAAUUUCGUGAAGUUAUUCCAGAGGCAGUACUCUUUUCUCUUCUUCCAUUUUGAUGUUUCGUUACUUGAGCGCAUAUCUCUUGUGUUUAUUUGUCCUUGUUUGUAGUUCCCUGAUGACCUGAACUUACCAUGUGGGGUACUCCGUCUUAACUCUUAACCCAAAUGGAGGUCAUGGAAGCCAGAGUGGGUUAUGGUGGGAAGUUCUCUACCAGGUCACCAGCAGGAACACAAGCCUAAGAAGCAGAGAAUCGAUUCAGUGUCAUCUCCGAUUGUCCCUAUCAUUGUCAACUCUGUGAUUGGUGAAGAAAUGAAGGGCUACAGUGGAUUAAAACCCUUCAUGAUGACUACUUCCUUCCACGGAGACAAUUCAAAUUCUCUGAGCCACCUGAUGCAUCAGACCUUUAAAAAUUCAACUUUUGAGAGUAACUCAUUGGUAGCAGAAGAAGAGUACUCCAAAGGCUCUGGCCAAUCAAACUGUGAAGUUUCUUGUUGAUCAUGAUUCCACGGUCUCCUUGUGUGAUAGUUGUACCCGAAUGGUUUUCUUCAGACUUGGUGACAUCUAGGCUCACUCAACACUUACUUCCAUUGUAUUUGGCCAAUGAAAAGAUGUUUACUCAACCUAGCUGCAUAUGUGCAAUAUUUAUAUCAUUUGCAGUCAGCCUCUUGUUGUAUUUCCUUUAUUCAAUAAUAGAUGUAGCUCUGCUAUUUUUAAGAGUCAAGACUCAUAACACUCCUAUAUGUUCACAGUUAA
Molecule: long non-coding RNA, 1296 nt
Organism: Rosa rugosa (rugosa rose)
Lineage: Eukaryota; Viridiplantae; Streptophyta; Magnoliopsida; Rosales; Rosaceae
Exons: 4
Source: RefSeq, a predicted model, not a curated record